This 207-nucleotide long non-coding RNA is filed under the name Elaeis guineensis (African oil palm). RNAcentral describes it as "long non-coding RNA (EGUI_LNC032482)". Lineage: Eukaryota; Viridiplantae; Streptophyta; Magnoliopsida; Arecales; Arecaceae. The record is from RNAcentral.
CUGUGAUGAUCACUAUGACCAAGCUUAUAGGCUCUUCUCCAACCAUUUCCUCUUCUUCUACAACUCUUUUUUGAGGAUACUGAAUAUCUGUAUCAAUCAUUGAAUUAUCAACAUACUCCUUAAAUAACUCAUCAUCCCCAUUAAAAUACAGAAAGUCACUCAAAGAUAGACUACCAUCACUAUUGAAACUGGUUGUAUGAUACUGUU